GUGGGGAAUUUUGGACAAUGGGGGCAACCCUGAUCCAGCCAUGCCGCGUGCGGGAAGAAGGCCUUCGGGUUGUAAACCGCUUUUGUCAGGGAAGAAAUCCUUUGGGUUAAUACCUCGGAGGGAUGACGGUACCUGAAGAAUAAGCACCGGCUAACUACGUGCCAGCAGCCGCGGUAAUACGUAGGGUGCGAGCGUUAAUCGGAAUUACUGGGCGUAAAGCGUGCGCAGGCGGUUUUGUAAGAUCGAUGUGAAAUCCCCGGGCUCAACCUGGGAACUGCAUUGGUGACUGCAAGGCUGGAGUGUGGCAGAGGGGGAUGGAAUUCCGCGUGUAGCAGUGAAAUGCGUAGAUAUUGGGAAGAACACCGGUGGCGAAGGCGACCACCUGGCUCGGUUCUGACGCUGAGGCGCGACAGCGUGGGGAGCAAACAGGAUUAGAUACCCGUGUAGUCC
Molecule: ribosomal RNA, 450 nt
Filed under: uncultured bacterium
Lineage: Bacteria
Description: partial 16S ribosomal RNA
Rfam family: Bacterial small subunit ribosomal RNA
Source: RNAcentral